CUUGCUGUGUAGCCAAAGAUGACCUGCCUCCCAAAUGUUGGCAUUACAUGCCUGUGCCACUGCUCUCUGCUCUCACUGUGACCCUUUUGAAGGUUGCAGUUCAGUCCUUGGUUCACU
RNAcentral lists this microRNA precursor (117 nucleotides) under Mus pahari (shrew mouse). RNAcentral's name for it is "miRNA (MGP_PahariEiJ_G0007171.1)". Lineage: Eukaryota; Metazoa; Chordata; Mammalia; Rodentia; Muridae. The record is from RNAcentral.